UUUGAGAGGGAAAUUUGAAACAUGGAGGGGGAAAUGAAAAUUUUUUGCGACAAAAAAAAUUUGGUCGCCAUUUAUAAAACAACGUCGUUUUGUACCCACUCCCCCUAAAAAUUUGGUCGCCAUUUCUAAGUGUUGCCAUUUAUGAACCCUAAACCGCUGCCCCCUUCCAACUCUCUCUCUCUUUCUCUCUCUCUCUGUCUCUAAUGGAGAAUGGGGACGAGUGGUUGGUCCCCGAAUAAGCUACAACACAUUCUCUUCUGCUUCUCCAUCACCAUUAUUUUCUCUCUCCUCGCUUCCCUAACUCGCUAUUCUUUCCUCUGCCGCCGGACCAUCUGGUUCGGAUCCAUCAUCUCCCUCUCCGCCGGUGCUGCCAAAGAGGUCGCCGACGAGCUUGGCUUCUUCAAGUCGGCCGGAGCCUCCUCCAAAGACACUGUUGCUGAUCUCCUUGGCAUUCUUCUCGCUGUGCUCAUUCUUUCUCUCACGAAAUCACUCUCCCUGCGGAUCAAACCCGAUCAAUCGGGUCAAAUUUGAGGGGUCGAGAUAGUUUGAUCGAUGGCUUGGGUUCCAGUUUGUGUGAUCGAGCAUUUUGGAGUGAUCAGUGAUGGUUGGUGGAUCAAUACCUUAUCGUGUGCUCAAUGUGGCCAAAAGGGCUCAUCUUCAGUAUGAUAUUAUAUUUAUGUAUUAUCUUCGAUUUUAUUCGCAACCAUACAUUAUACAUUACAUACACACACAAGCACAGUUCAAUGUAUACUUGGAUUGGGAUGUUUUUUGUUUUACAAUGUUGAGCAAUCAAUAAACAAUUAGGGCAUUUAGGAGGAUUGAUGGAUUUUUUAUUACUCAGAAAUUAACUUGUGGAGACCCUUUUUCUUACCUCCCUUGAUAUUUGAGAAAAAUAUAGUUAGCGUAAUUGCACUCAACCUCCCUUUUGGUACAGUUGAGCAUGCUAUUUUUGUACAUCUGUUUAAUUUGGAUUACCUAUCAUUCAUUAGUUAUUUUCAUUUUGGUAAUGGUUUUGUAACUCUCUUCCAGGUAAAUCAACCCUUUAGUCUUACUAGACUUCUGUCACUCCAAGUUUUCAAAAUUUGUAAAGUCUUACGUCUCAUGAACGAUUAAAGUGGAAGCUGAAAGUUUUAUUCAAUAAGUGAUUAUUAAAUUUAUAAAAUUGAUGAUCCUUGGGGCAACAGAAACACCAUUAUUAACUUUCAUGUUUUCAACCUCUGUGCUAAUUUUUUUUUUGUGACUGGUAAUGUUGUCACAAAAGGGUAGUGAUGAGGUUGCAAACACUCUUAUACUGCCAGCUUUCUUCUAGUAUUUGAGGUCCUUUUUCCUGUUUGGUAUGCAAGUGAUUUAUGCUUUUUAUUUUCCCCAGUUGCCAAGAUCACAUUGCCCUGAAUUCAAAUUUGAUGAAUAAAGAGCUAAAAGUGAGCUACAUUGCCCUGAAUUACAACAGCCCAACAGUCAGACCAAACACAAUGCCUCGAAUUAAAGCUCACUUUUAGCUCUUUAUUCAUCAAAUUUGAAUUUGAUGGAUGAAAGAAUUGGUGAAGGUCUGGUGACUGAUUAAUUAGAGGGCAGAUGGUAUGGAUGUCAUGGUAUUGACUCUUCAAUGUUUUCUGUUCUCCAAAUGUGGUUUUUGCAAAUAUAUUAUUUUUGGGAUCUGUCUCUUAAUCUUGCAGCAGAGACCAUGGGAACACAACAUCACUUGGAGGAUAGUGGGAUAUGAGGCUUUGACUACACUAUAUUCCCAUACUUCCGACAGCUUUAAGUUUCCAGUGUGUUAGAGUGCUUAUCAUGUUGGAGGCUUGCAGCAAUCAAAUUUAUGCACAUAAACACAGUUAAUCACGUAGUUCAAAAACAAAAAUGUACACCAAUUUGUAGUGUAGUAAGAAAUGACUAGUAAUCAAACACAAGUAUUUUUUCUUGGCCAAAUUACUAUGUUGGGUGGAGAACUAUGAACAGAUGAGACCAAAGUAACAUAAACCUACAACGCUUGAGCUCUUGAAGCCCUUGUUCCAGAUUGGUCAACACCAUCUUGCACUCUUCUUGGCCUGCAAUUAAUGGUGGUAUGGAUUAAUAACUUAAUUCCUGUCAUGUACAGUUAAAUAAUGUACUUUUGGAUGCGGACUUUAUUGCUUUUCUUCUGCAUGUAUCAACAUAUAUUUUUUAGCGCAUAUGCUCUACCAAAAUUUUAGUGAACUUGAAUGUUUGCAAUGUAAGCUUGUUGCAGGGUUAAAUAAUGGUUUUUAAUAAAUUUAAAAAUCCGAAGAGUUUAAAUUAGUGGGAAACAACUUGUCAAGCUGCAGGAUGAUAUACAUUUUUAAUACUAAAUGCCUGCUUUAGCCACCAAUUAGGCAGGCAACUCAUAGUUGAUAUAGCAGAUGAAUAUGCAUUUGUUGGUCCUUUUGCUGAUUAAAUUGAGCAGUAGAAAUAUAUAUGAAAAGACUCCAUUUUUUAUCAAACAGUUUAUUUGGGUUUGUCUUGAGAUUGGGUGGGUCUCUUAGUGCUUUUGUCUUCCAAAUCUGUAAACCAGUUAUUGUUGUUUAUUCUAUAACUCUUUUUAUUUUCUAAUUUUUUUUUUAUCAAUUUGCCCCCCCUCAUCUUUUCCUGGGGAUAAGUUGGUUAGCCUGUGCACCUAUGAUUAUUGUUAAAACCUUUUUCAUUCUUGUCUGGUUGAUUCUGCCAUCAUCCUUCUUCCAGCCUGCAUCAGCCUUGUUGACAUCAAUGUUGAGGAAACUCUGAACACUCAAAUAUGCUAAUCGUGCUCGAAACAUUCAGAAUAAGCCUGUUUUAACAGAGAUGUUAUGUCGAAUGAGAUGCAAAAUAUGCGGCAGCAGCUAGAGUACUUGCAGGCUGAACUUAAUAACGAG
This is a non-coding RNA of Camellia sinensis, 2867 nucleotides long. NCBI's taxonomy places the organism in Eukaryota, Viridiplantae, Streptophyta, Magnoliopsida, Ericales, Theaceae. The record is from RefSeq and is a predicted model, not a curated record.